GAUGAACGCUAGCGGCAGGCCUAAUACAUGCAAGUCAAGGGGUUCAGCAAUGGACACCGGCGGACGGGUGCGUAACACGUACACAACGUACCCAAGGGCGGGGGAAAGCGGCGGGAAACUGCCGGUAAUACCCCAUGGCGUUGUAGAAUGGCAUCAUUUUACAACUAAAGUACAAGCGCCCUUGGAUCGGUGUGCGCCCGAUUAGCUUGUUGGCGGGGUAACGGCCCACCAAGGCUUCGAUCGGUAGGGGGUGUGAGAGCAUGGCCCCCCACACGGGUACUGAGACACGGACCCGACUCCUACGGGAGGCAGCAGUAAGGAAUAUUGGACAAUGGGCGGAAGCCUGAUCCAGCCAUGCCGCGUGAAGGAUGAAGGCGCUCAGCGUUGUAAACUUCUUUUGGAUGGGAAUAAUAACCUCGACUUGUCGAGACUUGAAGGUACCAUCAGAAUAAGCACCGGCUAACUCCGUGCCAGCAGCCGCGGUAAAGUCGAUAU
This 495-nucleotide ribosomal RNA is filed under the name uncultured bacterium. RNAcentral's name for it is "bacterial SSU rRNA". It matches the Rfam family "Bacterial small subunit ribosomal RNA", at positions 28 to 532 of the family's 1533-position model. The record is from RNAcentral.